UGGGGAAUUUUGGACAAUGGGCGCAAGCCUGAUCCAGCCAUUCCGCGUGAGUGAAGAAGGCCUUCGGGUUGUAAAGCUCUUUCGCAAGGGAAGAAAACUUAGGCUCUAACAUAGCCUGAGGUUGACGGUACCCUGAUAGGAAGCACCGGCUAACUACGUGCCAGCAGCCGCGGUAAUACGUAGGGUGCGAGCGUUAAUCGGAAUUACUGGGCGUAAAGCGUGCGCAGGCGGUUUUGUAAGUCAGAUGUGAAAUCCCCGAGCUCAACUUGGGAACUGCGUUUGAAACUACAAGACUAGAAUAUGUCAGAGGGGGGUAGAAUUCCACGUGUAGCAGUGAAAUGCGUAGAGAUGUGGAGGAAUACCGAUGGCGAAGGCAGCCCCCUGGGAUAAUAUUGACGCUCAUGCACGAAAGCGUGGGGAGCAAACAG
RNAcentral lists this ribosomal RNA (428 nucleotides) under uncultured bacterium. RNAcentral describes it as "bacterial SSU rRNA". It matches the Rfam family "Bacterial small subunit ribosomal RNA", at positions 355 to 775 of the family's 1533-position model. The record is from RNAcentral.